Molecule: ribosomal RNA, 321 nt
Filed under: Triticum aestivum (bread wheat)
Lineage: Eukaryota; Viridiplantae; Streptophyta; Magnoliopsida; Poales; Poaceae
Description: partial small subunit ribosomal RNA
Source: RNAcentral
AUGAAAAUUAAUGCAUGGUGGCUUUGCCACAAAUACGAUGUCAACUACAUGAUCAUGCAAUGGCAAUAUGACAAAAGUAAAGUAUGUCAUGAUGAUGAACAGAAUGGUGGAAAGUUGCAUGUCAAUAUAUCUCGGAAUGGCUAUGGAAAUGCCAUAAUAGGUAGGUAUGGUGGCUGUUUUGAUGAAGAUAUAAGGAGGUUUAUGUGUGAUAGAGCGUAUCGUAUCACGGGGUUUCGAUGCACCGGCGAAAUUUGCACCAACUCUCAAGGUGAAAAAGGGCAAUGCACGGUACCGAAGAGGCUAGCAAUGGCGGAAAGGUAA